UAUACCAAGCGUGGAUGAAAAUAUAUGUGUGCAUUUGAUGUAGUUACAACACUCCAACAAAAGUUUUUCUUUCUCGCGCUCAUUUUCUGUUCUUCAUCUUCUUUUUCUCAUUCUCCGAUUCUCUUUCAUUCUUUUUCUACUUUCUCUCUCUAUAUUUUCUCACCCAAUUUCUCUCUAUUUCAGGCAAAUCAUUGAUCAAUACUUGACAAAUAACACCUAAUCUGUAUUUCAUAGGUUUUUAUUAUAAAUUUAAGUAUAAAUUAUUCUAUAGUUGAAUUUUAAUUUCGUGUAUGUUGUGUUGUCUAUUUCUAGGUUAUUACAAAACUCCUACGCACAAUGAAUCAGUGAGAGACAUUUACAAAGAUUGAAGCCACAUAAGUUUUCUUUGUUGUGAGUAAUCAUCUCCAUGGGAUUAAGGAAGAUAGUCUAUCUGAUCAUAAAGGAAUCUUCUCCUCUGGAGAUGAGGUCACACAUUCUUAUGUCGAUGUUAUUGCUUGUUACAUUUAUGUCCGUUUAAUUUGUUCCUCAUUAUAUUUGAUGUUAAGGGAAAUUUAUAUUAGAGAUAAAAGAGGCAAAGCACAAUUAGGAGGAAUGACACCAAUUUGAAGUUUAUUUGUCUGGCUAUUUUAUGCGGAGUUGAAUCAACUAUAUAUUAAGUAUCAAAUAUAAAUAUUUGGUUUCCGAGGAUUUUUAGAAAUUUAAACAACAUACAGUACCAAGUAAUAAUUUUCAUCAAUCAUAUAUUUGUUUCAGGUUAAAUAGUUUUUUAAUUGUGAUGCAAUGAAUGAGAAAAUCAAUUCCUUUUUCCUUCAGUUUUUAUUGGUGGUUUAGUUUUAUCAAUGAAAUUUAUUAGCUUCUUUUAUUUUGAAGCGAAUCACAAGUUGAGUGACGCGGUCUUAAGUAAAACAGAGAAGGUAUAUGGAAAAAACAACAUAAGUAGUGAACUAUGGUGCGAACCUGGGUUGUGUUCAGAUAUUAUCAAUAUCUUACUUUUUUACAUGUUAGAUUUUUUGGCAACCCCAUUUCCUCCUGUUAUAAGUUCGGUGCAAUGAGCAGAUGGAAGCCCUUGAAGAAAUCUUAAUUUUCUACAGGUGCAAAUUUUUUUUAAGUUGCUCUAUAAUUUUUGUUAACAAAAUUUCCAACUACCGACUAAUAGAUACCCCAACAUCUGUGGCAGCGCUUGAACUAAAUGCGCAAUAUGUGUUGCCUCAUUAAUUCCUUACAUAACAGAAGUUUUUAGUUCCCCCUGGAUAUCUAGCUACAUUUGAGUGAAUUGCAUUUGAGUUCCUAUAAUUUAAUGGAGUUAUUCAAAAGAUUAAUUUCUUCGUUUGAGUUAUUUGAAUGAAAUAAUAGACCAAACAAUCUUUUAGUCUUCACUAUCAAUGGAGUUGGGCUUGUAUUUAAGUUCGUAUAUCUUAUUAUAUUUUAGUUAUAUUUGAAUUGCAACGUGCUUAAAUCUACCUUGAGCUAAAUGUGUCAGCGAGCUCUCACAUUUGGAGAUAAAUUAAGAAAAUUGUUUGUUUUUGGUUUGUUUUUAUAAUUUUCAGGUGAUUUUCCAGUGACUAAAGGUAAUAAAUGGUCAAGUACCAGAUGGGUGCAUGUUAAGGAAUAAGUGGUCAAGUAACAAAUGAUACAUGUAGCAGCAAAUGAUGUUGCUUUCUAAGCCCAUGCUGUUCUACUAACAGCAAUUUCCUUGAAGGUUGAGCAUAUGUUAAAUGAUAGAUUGCUUCAGUUUGUCAAUAUUGCUUCAGUUUGAGAUAAGGGAGUGAAGAAACUAUUCUAACACGCGGAAGGUCUCAUUACCUUUGAAUUGGGUUAUGUGAAUUCAAUAUUUUUGAAUUUGAUUUUGGGUUCUGCAAAGUGAUAGGUGUAUCAUUAGAGACUUAUAUGGAUUUUGGAGUUUUUAAAUGCGUUUAUUUUAUGCGUUCUUGUUGUGGAUAAUUGUAAAUUUCUACUCUUUCUCGUUUACACAAUAUUGAAUCAA
Molecule: long non-coding RNA, 1984 nt
Organism: Gastrolobium bilobum
Lineage: Eukaryota; Viridiplantae; Streptophyta; Magnoliopsida; Fabales; Fabaceae
Exons: 5
Source: RefSeq, a predicted model, not a curated record